CCCGGCUAACUUAGGCAUUUAUUAAUUGACCAAAGGGGGCAGACUGGCCAGGGAAAAAGGAAGGAAGGGACAGAGCGGCUCCCCUGGGACCUGUCUCCUGCUGCCCACAGAGCCCCAGCAUCCAGCACAGCUUGCUCAGCGUCCCCCCUUCCUCCUGCCCUGGGUGCUGCAGCCGAGCCUGGCCCCCGUGGCACAGGCUUCUCAGUGUCAUUUUCAUGACACUUAGGCUGUGGAUAGUUGUGUUCAUGGAGACAAAUCUGCCUGACCGUCUAACCGGUCAGUUCCCCUAGGAGGCUUCCUGACUCUCCCAGGCACUUCCUUGCCUCUGUUCAAUCAUGCUCCUUUCUUGACUUUCAAGAUCACUUUCCUGUGCACGUGUCUGUCUUCCGCCCUGUUCUCAUUCUCCCUGCAUUCCCUGCCGUGGCAGCAUUCAUAGUGCCGAAUAAAUACUGUGGACCAUCUUGGGAAACCCCAAACUCUCAGGAGGUGACAAGCCCUGGAAUCCACACUGGUAUCAGCUCUGUGGGCCCCGAGGACACAAGACCAUAAAGAAGACAAUCUGGUCAGUGUGAGGCAGCUUUCGUGUGAAUGCGUAUUCAUCACAUUUGUAUGCAGCACCCUCAGUUUCAGCUUGUUCAGUGAUCAUUAAGCCUGCGUUUGGC
RNAcentral lists this long non-coding RNA (662 nucleotides) under Chinchilla lanigera (long-tailed chinchilla). Its description in RNAcentral is "lncRNA (ENSCLAG00000023342.1)". Lineage: Eukaryota; Metazoa; Chordata; Mammalia; Rodentia; Chinchillidae. The record is from RNAcentral.